GAUUAACGCUGGCGGCGUGCCUAACACAUGCAAGUCGAACGAGGUAGCAAUACCUAGUGGCAGACGGGUGAGUAACGCGUGGUCAACCUACCGUUGAGUGGGGGAUAACUAGCCGAAAGGUUAGCUAAUACCGCAUACGUCUCCGAGUGGCAUCACUUGGCGAUAAAAGGAGCAAUCCGCUCGAUGACGGGACCGCGUCCCAUUAGCUAGAUGGUGGGGUAACGCCUACCANGGCUCCGAUGGGUAGCUGGUUUGAGAGAGCGACCAGCCACACUGGGACUGAGAAACGGCCCAGACUCCUACGGGAGGCAGCAGUGAGGAAUUUCCGCAAUGGCGCAAGCCUGACGGAGCGACGCCGCGUGAGUGAUGAAGGCCUU
This 377-nucleotide ribosomal RNA is filed under the name uncultured bacterium. Its description in RNAcentral is "bacterial SSU rRNA". It matches the Rfam family "Bacterial small subunit ribosomal RNA", at positions 28 to 418 of the family's 1533-position model. The record is from RNAcentral.